This 522-nucleotide ribosomal RNA is filed under the name uncultured bacterium. Its description in RNAcentral is "bacterial SSU rRNA". It matches the Rfam family "Bacterial small subunit ribosomal RNA", at positions 777 to 1297 of the family's 1533-position model. The record is from RNAcentral.
AAUAGAUACCCCGGUAGUCCACGCCGUAAACGAUGAGUGCUAAGUGUUAGAGGGUUUCCGCCCUUUAGUGCUGCAGCUAACGCAUUAAGCACUCCGCCUGGGGAGUACGGCCGCAAGGCUGAAACUCAAAGGAAUUGACGGGGGCCCGCACAAGCGGUGGAGCAUGUGGUUUAAUUCGAAGCAACGCGAAGAACCUUACCAGGUCUUGACAUCCUCUGCCAACCCUAGAGAUAGGGCGUUCCCCUUCGGGGGACAGAGUGACAGGUGGUGCAUGGUUGUCGUCAGCUCGUGUCGUGAGAUGUUGGGUUAAGUCCCGCAACGAGCGCAACCCUUGAUCUUAGUUGCCAGCAUUCAGUUGGGCACUCUAAGGUGACUGCCGGUGACAAACCGGAGGAAGGUGGGGAUGACGUCAAAUCAUCAUGCCCCUUAUGACCUGGGCUACACACGUGCUACAAUGGAUGGUACAAAGAGCUGCGAACCCGUGAGGGUAAGCGAAUCUCAUAAAGCCAUUCCCAGUUCGGA